CGACCGCGUGAACGAUGAAGGCCUUCGGGUCGUAAAGUUCUGUGUUAGGGAAGAACAAGUACCAGAGUAACUGCUGGUACCUUGACGGUACCUAACCAGAAAGCCACGGCUAACUACGUGCCAGCAGCCGCGGUAAUACGUAGGUGGCAAGCGUUGUCCGGAAUUAUUGGGCGUAAAGCGCGCGCAGGCGGUUUCUUAAGUCUGAUGUGAAAGCCCACGGCUCAACCGUGGAGGGUCAUUGGAAACUGGGAAACUUGAGUGCAGAAGAGGAGAGUGGAAUUCCACGUGUAGCGGUGAAAUGCGUAGAGAUGUGGAGGAACACCAGUGGCGAAGGCGACUCUCUGGUCUGUAACUGACGCUGAGGCGCGAAAGCGUGGGGAGCGAACAGGAUUAGAUACCCUGGUAGUCCACGCCGUAAACGAUGAGUGCUAAGUGUUAGAGGGUUUCCGCCCUUUAGUGCUGCAGCAAACGCAUUAAGCACUCCGCCUGGGGAGUACGGUCGCAAGACUG
This 510-nucleotide ribosomal RNA is filed under the name uncultured Bacillota bacterium. RNAcentral describes it as "bacterial SSU rRNA". It matches the Rfam family "Bacterial small subunit ribosomal RNA", at positions 394 to 896 of the family's 1533-position model. Lineage: Bacteria; Bacillati; Bacillota. The record is from RNAcentral.